RNAcentral lists this long non-coding RNA (1429 nucleotides) under Mus caroli (Ryukyu mouse). Its description in RNAcentral is "predicted gene 13556 (MGP_CAROLIEiJ_G0003171.1)". Lineage: Eukaryota; Metazoa; Chordata; Mammalia; Rodentia; Muridae. The record is from RNAcentral.
UUUUUUCUUUUAACCACUGAGCAGUCUAGUUUGAAGAUUAAUAAGGCCAUUCUUCAUACUAAUUUCACACUUAAUGCAAUUUCAUGCUUUGGUAAAUUCCCUUACUCAAGUGCUCAGAUAGUACAGUGAUGCAUUUCACCAAACACACUUACAAAACAAACUUGUCAACCUGCUACUGUCAAGAGUGAGAACACAUAAUAGCUAGUCAUCUGAACUUGUUCUAUUUUAAUGUUCACUCGAAUACUUGAUGCCUCCAGUCCAGCAAGUCUCUGAACUUCUCUGGAACAAGAAAGGUAAGACACAUCCUAGUGCUUUCUCUGCAACUCUGAGGUGACUUCCAGAAAGUGUUUCUACAUGCUGUUGAAAGUCCAAGUUCACAACUCUUACCUGAAGGGUAGAAUUUAGCCUGGAACUCCUUUUUUAAUCCCAAUAGUUCACAAACUAAAUCACUUUACCUCCCCAGAUUCUCAAACUCUUGUGUUAUAUUCUAACCCCCUCCUCCCUUUUCUAUAAAAAUAAAAUAAAGGUCUUCUUAUGCUUCCACAUCCAUUUUCAUGAGCAAUCUUUUCUAAUGUCAUUCAGCAGGUGUCACAGGAUUUCUGCAAAACUUACAAGACACCUUUUGUAAAUGAGAAUUCUAACCGCUGAAGAGACUGAACAGCUGGGCAAGCACGGGUCACACCGCAUGUGCAUCACUUGGACGUGCGAUGCAAUGUUUGAAUAAUUAUUAGAUUUUUUGCCCUUGAGGCCCUUCCUCUUUCAAACUUCCCUAGUACAAUUCUCAAAAUGCUGAAAUAAUCACAUUCCACGGACUUUCCUAUAAGAGGGUUUAUGGUGUCUUAUGAAUGCUGCUUUCCAGAAAAGUCUAUGCUGUCAACUUUGUUUUUCAAUGUCCUUAAGCAAUUCUAUUAGUCAUAGAGAAAAAGUGAGCAUUUGCUAAUGAUUAGAGAGAGAGAGAGAGAGAGAGAGAGAGAGAGAGAGCAUCUGAAUCCUAGGGCUGAGGAAGGGAGUGGCCAGAAGUGGUCUUAGCUGGGAGGGGAGAUAGAGACCAAGGCAACACCCAAAUUGGACCACAGAAAAGUUGUACUUCCCAAAGACAACUUCUAAUGUUUCGGUGGGUACUGAAGUUACAAGUAUCAGCAUUUUCACGAGAAAACGAAGCUUCAACCAGGGGCUCCAAGCAAAUUAAGAAGGAGUAAGGGAAUGUGCCUGACUGGAUUGCAAAACCUUUUCAAAAUCAGGUGCUCCUGACAGCUAAAGGUGUCUUCCUUCAUAGCCUUUGGCCCUGGCUUGUGUGCAGACUCAGAUAAGAGGAAGAGACAGCAAAGGCAAAGCGCCUUCCUGUGCAGGCCUCCCUCAGGCGCUCUCCCCGCCCCUUCCUCCCUUCCCUCAGGCAGGGGCCCGCCCGCUCGAGGCUCGCUCCCCGGCC